GAGGAGUUAGUUAACUUAUAACAUCACCUUGUCAAGAUGAAAUAAUGGGUUAAACCCCCAUACACCUCU
RNAcentral lists this transfer RNA (69 nucleotides) under Dryophytes versicolor (chameleon treefrog). RNAcentral describes it as "tRNA-Asp". It matches the Rfam family "tRNA". Rfam says of the family: Transfer RNA (tRNA) molecules are approximately 80 nucleotides in length. Their secondary structure includes four short double-helical elements and three loops (D, anti-codon, and T loops). Lineage: Eukaryota; Metazoa; Chordata; Amphibia; Anura; Hylidae. The record is from RNAcentral.